CAGCAGCCGCGGGAAUACGUAGGGUGCGAGCGUUAAUCGGAAUUACUGGGCGUAAAGCGGGCGCAGACGGUUACUUAAGCAGGAUGUGAAAUCCCCGGGCUCAACCUGGGAACUGCGUUCUGAACUGGGUAACUAGAGUGUGUCAGAGGGAGGUAGAAUUCCACGUGUAGCAGUGAAAUGCGUAGAGAUGUGGAGGAAUACCGAUGGCGAAGGCAGCCUCCUGGGAUAACACUGACGUUCAUGCCCGAAAGCGUGGGUAGCAAACAGGAUUAGAUACCCCUGUAGUCCCUGUCUCUUAUAC
RNAcentral lists this ribosomal RNA (301 nucleotides) under uncultured bacterium. RNAcentral's name for it is "partial 16S ribosomal RNA". It matches the Rfam family "Bacterial small subunit ribosomal RNA", at positions 509 to 807 of the family's 1533-position model. The record is from RNAcentral.